GUCAGGUUGAAGUUCAGGUAACACUGAAUGGAGGACCGAACCGACUUACGUUGAAAAGUGAGCGGAUGAACUGAGGGUAGCGGAGAAAUUCCAAUCGAACUUGGAGAUAGCUGGUUCUCUCCGAAAUAGCUUUAGGGCUAGCCUCAAGUGAUGAUUAUUGGAGGUAGAGCACUGUUUGGACGAGGGGCCCCUCUCGGGUUACCGAAUUCAGACAAACUCCGAAUGCCAAUUAAUUUAACUUGGGAGUCAGAACAUGGGUGAUAAGGUCCGUGUUCGAAAGGGAAACAGCCCAGACCACCAGCUAAGGUCCCAAAAUAUAUGUUAAGUGGAAAAGGAUGUGGCGUUGCCCAGACAACUAGGAUGUUGGCUUAGAAGCAGCCAUCAUUUAAAGAGUGCGUAAUAGCUCACUAGUCGAGUGACACUGCGCCGAAAAUGUAACGGGGCUAAACAUAUUACCGAAGCUGUGGAUUGUCCUUUGGACAAUGGUAGGAGAGCGUUCUAAGGGCGUCGAAGCAUGAUCGCAAGGACAUGUGGAGCACUUAGAAGUGAGAAUGCCGGUGUGAGUAG
Molecule: ribosomal RNA, 567 nt
Filed under: Staphylococcus epidermidis
Lineage: Bacteria; Bacillati; Bacillota; Bacilli; Caryophanales; Staphylococcaceae
Description: bacterial LSU rRNA
Rfam family: Bacterial large subunit ribosomal RNA
Source: RNAcentral